GGGGCUGUAGCUCAGCUGGGAGAGCGCUGCAUUCGCAUUGCAGAGGUCACCGGUUCGAUCCCGGUCAGCUCCA
Molecule: transfer RNA, 73 nt
Filed under: Gemmatimonadaceae bacterium
Lineage: Bacteria; Pseudomonadati; Gemmatimonadota; Gemmatimonadia; Gemmatimonadales; Gemmatimonadaceae
Description: tRNA-Ala
Rfam family: tRNA
About the family: Transfer RNA (tRNA) molecules are approximately 80 nucleotides in length. Their secondary structure includes four short double-helical elements and three loops (D, anti-codon, and T loops). Further hydrogen bonds mediate the characteristic L-shaped molecular structure. tRNAs have two regions of fundamental functional importance: the anti-codon, which is responsible for specific mRNA codon recognition, and the 3' end, to which the tRNAs corresponding amino acid is attached (by aminoacyl-tRNA synthetases). tRNAs cope with the degeneracy of the genetic code in two manners: having more than one tRNA (with a specific anti-codon) for a particular amino acid; and 'wobble' base-pairing, i.e. permitting non-standard base-pairing at the 3rd anti-codon position.
Source: RNAcentral